This 40-nucleotide ribosomal RNA is filed under the name Bryoclavula phycophila. RNAcentral describes it as "partial 28S ribosomal RNA". The record is from RNAcentral. Lineage: Eukaryota; Fungi; Basidiomycota; Agaricomycetes; Cantharellales; Hydnaceae.
AUCUGACCUCGAAUCAGGUGGGACUACCCGCUGAACUUAA